GAUAAGACGAGAGACGAUAGGACGAAAGAAAAGAUGAAGAAGAAACAAGACGAAAAGACGCAAGACGAUAAAACGGGAGACGACAGGACGAAGGAAAAGACGAAGAGAUGAAAGGACGAAAAGACCAAAACGGAGAGGACACGACGACGAGAAGGAGGAAAGAAGAAGGAAGACGACAUUCAAAUCUCGAAGACGUUAAGAAUUCGAAAGGCAUCGAGUGUACAACUACAAGGUGACGCAGCGACACCAGAAAUACAUUGACAAGACUGUGAAUGCGUCAGUAACACCAACAUCGAGAGGGCAGUGAUAAUACGCGGGUAAGCGCGCGACAGUAGCGCUGGUAACGACAUCGAAAGUGUGGUGGCAGGAUUGCACGACGUAAAUGAACGUGAGACGGUAGUCUUGAGUGUACGCGAACAAGACGGUACAAUAACAGUGAGCGCGCGACGGUAAACAUUUAUCACAUUGCGUAAAAUGUGCAGAGACAAGAUAAAUAAUCUCGCGCAAAUUGAACCAAUCAAGCAAAAGAUACGUGUGUGAAGAAGGUGAUCGAAAAAAUAGACAAAGACUUUGAGGGUUUUACUUUCAAGAAAGACACAACGGGAUACGUGAAUAAAAUAGAAGCGGCGCGAAAACUUUCGAUCGGUGACUUGAUAUCCUACUGUAAUAUUCUUGGUUUAGAGUACGGCGGAAACAGAGAAGAGAUAAUAACGCAUAGUACAUGGUUUAAUGGAUUUAAAUACUCUCACGCCUAAAGAUAGUGAAUAAAACGAUGAAUUAGACGAAGAUGCGAGCGACGAGGGAACAGUUGACGAGUAAGACGACGAAAGAGAGGAAGAAAGAAGCAACAAAGCAAGUGAAAAUAAUCUCGAAGAGAACCACUCUACCAGAGGCAGUCAAGUGAACACGAAAUUCUCCAUGACAUAUCGAGACGUACAAGAUUCAAUUAAAACUUUCACUGGAAAAGAUACAUAUCCGGUUGAAAGAUGGAUAGCUGAAUUUGAAGAUGCGGCUAAUCUGUUCGAAUGGUCGGAAUUACAGAAGUUAGUGUUCGCAAAGAAAUCACUAGCCGGAUCUGUUAAAAUGCUCAUCGACAGCGAAGGCGUUAUCGUGAAAGAAAUUAAAAGAAAUUCUACUAAAGAGAUGAAUUUAUAGACAAAAUAAACAGUGCCCAAAUACACGAUAUGUUGGUCAGAAGAAGACUGAAGAGGGACGAAACUUUGCAGGAAUAUUAUGUGAUGAAAGAAAUAGCUGCCAGAGGCAAAAUAGAAGCAGAAACACUCAUGAAAUACGUGAUUGACGGAAUCCCGGAAGACGCACAGAGCAAGAUCCUAUUGUACGGAGUUAAAAAAUUGACAGAAGGAGAAGCUUAAAGUAUACGAAGCAAUUCGGAAGAAGAAUACUAAGAGGAUGAGAACGAGAGAGAAGAACAAUAUGCCGAAGAAGACAGAGGAAGUGAGGAAACCAACAACACCAAAAAAUGGCGAAAAAGAACAAGAAACAGACGUGCGGUGCUACAAUUGCGGCGGUAAAGGACACAAAGCUAAA
RNAcentral lists this long non-coding RNA (1548 nucleotides) under Acromyrmex echinatior (Panamanian leafcutter ant). RNAcentral's name for it is "uncharacterized LOC105148722". Lineage: Eukaryota; Metazoa; Arthropoda; Insecta; Hymenoptera; Formicidae. The record is from RNAcentral.